CUUUACUGUAAUCUGGUAUUGGCAUUUGAUCUUCAGUGCGUAGUAUAGGUGGGAGACUUUGAAGCUCUUCUCCAGGGGAGAGCAGAGUCGUAAUGUGAAAUACCACUCUCUGAUAAUUAGAUGUCUAACUCCUUCCCAUAAUCUGGGCGGGGGACAGUGCUAGAGGGUCAGUUUGACUGGGGCGGUCUCCUCCGAAAAAGUAACGGAGGAUUGCGAUGGUUUCCUCAAGCCGGUUGGUAAUCGGCUGGAGAGCGCAUGGGUAAAAGGAAGCUUUACUGUGAGACAUACAAGUCGAGCAGUUGCGAAAGCAGGCCCAAGUGAUCCGGUAGUAGGACGUGGAACCGCUAUCGCUUAAAGGAUAAAAGGUA
This 368-nucleotide ribosomal RNA is filed under the name uncultured organism. RNAcentral's name for it is "bacterial LSU rRNA". It matches the Rfam family "Bacterial large subunit ribosomal RNA", at positions 2099 to 2465 of the family's 2925-position model. The record is from RNAcentral.